RNAcentral lists this ribosomal RNA (564 nucleotides) under Streptomyces carpinensis. RNAcentral describes it as "bacterial SSU rRNA". It matches the Rfam family "Bacterial small subunit ribosomal RNA", at positions 93 to 671 of the family's 1533-position model. Lineage: Bacteria; Bacillati; Actinomycetota; Actinomycetes; Kitasatosporales; Streptomycetaceae. The record is from RNAcentral.
UAGUGGCGAACGGGUGAGUAACACGUGGGCAAUCUGCCCUGCACUCUGGGACAAGCCCUGGAAACGGGGUCUAAUACCGGAUAUGACCGUCUUGGGCAUCCUUGAUGGUGUAAAGCUCCGGCGGUGCAGGAUGAGCCCGCGGCCUAUCAGCUUGUUGGUGAGGUAACGGCUCACCAAGGCGACGACGGGUAGCCGGCCUGAGAGGGCGACCGGCCACACUGGGACUGAGACACGGCCCAGACUCCUACGGGAGGCAGCAGUGGGGAAUAUUGCACAAUGGGCGAAAGCCUGAUGCAGCGACGCCGCGUGAGGGAUGACGGCCUUCGGGUUGUAAACCUCUUUCAGCAGGGAAGAAGCGCAAGUGACGGUACCUGCAGAAGAAGCGCCGGCUAACUACGUGCCAGCAGCCGCGGUAAUACGUAGGGCGCAAGCGUUGUCCGGAAUUAUUGGGCGUAAAGAGCUCGUAGGCGGCUUGUCGCGUCGGUUGUGAAAGCCCGGGGCUUAACCCCGGGUCUGCAGUCGAUACGGGCAGGCUAGAGUUCGGUAGGGGAGAUCGGAAUUCCU